Molecule: ribosomal RNA, 812 nt
Filed under: uncultured bacterium
Lineage: Bacteria
Description: bacterial SSU rRNA
Rfam family: Bacterial small subunit ribosomal RNA
Source: RNAcentral
GUCGAGCGAGCGGAACCACAGAUUUACUUCGGUAAUGACGUUGGGAAAGCGAGCGGCGGAUGGGUGAGUAACACGUGGGGAACCUGCCCCUAAGUCUGGGAUACCAUUUGGAAACAGGUGCUAAUACCGGAUAAUAAAGCAGAUCGCAUGAUCAGCUUUUGAAAGGCGGCGUAAGCUGUCGCUAAGGGAUGGCCCCGCGGUGCAUUAGCUAGUUGGUAAGGUAACGGCUUACCAAGGCGACGAUGCAUAGCCGAGUUGAGAGACUGAUCGGCCACAUUGGGACUGAGACACGGCCCAAACUCCUACGGGAGGCAGCAGUAGGGAAUCUUCCACAAUGGACGCAAGUCUGAUGGAGCAACGCCGCGUGAGUGAAGAAGGUUUUCGGAUCGUAAAGCUCUGUUGUUGGUGAAGAAGGAUAGAGGUAGUAACUGGCCUUUAUUUGACGGUAAUCAACCAGAAAGUCACGGCUAACUACGUGCCAGCAGCCGCGGUAAUACGUAGGUGGCAAGCGUUGUCCGGAUUUAUUGGGCGUAAAGCGAGCGCAGGCGGAAAAAUAAGUCUAAUGUGAAAGCCCUCGGCUUAACCGAGGAACUGCAUCGGAAACUGUUUUUCUUGAGUGCAGAAGAGGAGAGUGGAACUCCAUGUGUAGCGGUGGAAUGCGUAGAUAUAUGGAAGAACACCAGUGGCGAAGGCGGCUCUCUGGUCUGCAACUGACGCUGAGGCUCGAAAGCAUGGGUAGCGAACAGGAUUAGAUACCCUGGUAGUCCAUGCCGUAAACGAUGAGUGCUAAGUGUUGGGAGGUUUCCGCCUCU